AUAAACUCGGGUUUUUAGGGAAAUUUGUCAAAUUAUAAACUCAUAACAACCUAUUCUAUUUGACCUGGUUAAUAGCCUACCCAGGUCGCUGUGUUCCUGAACAUAGAUGGUUCUAACCACAGUCAUUUGCAUAAGUCACUGCAGCUGUAGACUUCCCAUUCUAUUUCAGAUGGCAAAGAAGGAAGUGUCACUUCGUCCCUUGAUGUCCAAAAUUUGUCCAAGUUGAUAGUGUGGUGUAUAAUAUGGCUGCUUUCAGCUCAUUUAGCAGUUUCACCUAUCAAAUAUAAUGAUAGGGCUGCAGCUAGGGGCUCUCACACUUUUCUAUCCUUUAAACAUAUUUUCAACUGCCCCAUUAUCUGCUUUUGGACAUAUGUUUAUAGGGUAAUAAAGUAUUUGAGACUCAUGAUUGCAGUGAACUCACAGCAGCAGCAGGAACCUUAAAGCUAAGGAUAAUUUUUAAUUAAUCUAUUAAUUAAAGUUUUUUUUUUUAAUACAUUAUUUAUUCAAAUAACAAUAGGCUUCACUUCCGGCCUAAUCCUCCCAGCCUCUCUAACAUCACACACACUACAUACAGAUUAACCCAAUCACACCUGCUUAUUAUAUCACUAAUUAGAUCGAUUAUAUAAAUAUAGUAUAUAGUUGGAUACAAAAUUGCACAUCUGUCAGUUAGUUUUCCCUUACAGAUACAAUGCCUCUCAUUGUCUCAUAUCUUAUCUAUCUUAUUUGUAAUUACACUCCAGCUUUCAAACUGUAUAUGUAUCAUUCCACCAGCAGCACCGCUAUUUAUUUAAAUUAACCUUAAUUGGAAUUGUUGCCAAAUACUUGUAUGUUU
Pelobates cultripes (western spadefoot toad) is the source of this 832-nucleotide non-coding RNA. The record is from the annotation of a GenBank genome assembly. Lineage: Eukaryota; Metazoa; Chordata; Amphibia; Anura; Pelobatidae.